RNAcentral lists this ribosomal RNA (253 nucleotides) under uncultured bacterium. RNAcentral's name for it is "partial 16S ribosomal RNA". It matches the Rfam family "Bacterial small subunit ribosomal RNA", at positions 524 to 776 of the family's 1533-position model. The record is from RNAcentral.
UACGGGGGGGGUAAGCGUUGUUCGGAAUUACUGGGCGUAAAGGGCUCGUAGGCGGCCAACUAAGUCAUACGUGAAAUCCCUCAGCUUAACUGGGGAACUGCGUGUGAUACUGGAUGGCUUGGAUUUGGGAGAGGGAUGCGGAAUUCCAGGUGUAGCGGUGAAAUGCGUAGAUAUCCGGAGGAACACCGGUGGCGAAGGCGGCGACCUGGGUCGACACUGACGCUGAGGCGCGAAAGCGUGGGGAGCAAACAGG